This 462-nucleotide ribosomal RNA is filed under the name uncultured bacterium. Its description in RNAcentral is "bacterial SSU rRNA". It matches the Rfam family "Bacterial small subunit ribosomal RNA", at positions 36 to 518 of the family's 1533-position model. The record is from RNAcentral.
CUGGCGGCGUGCUUAACACAUGCAAGUUGAACGGUAUGACAUGGAAGCUUGCUGAAGUGUCAUAUAGUAGCGGACGGGUGAGUAAUGCAUGAGAAGCUGCCAUUGGGAGGGGGGACAACAGUUGGAAACGGCUGCUAAUACCCCGUAUGCCGGAGGGUGAAAGGGAGUAAUCCGCCCGAUGAGGUGCUCAUGUCCUAUCAGCUGGUUGGUGGGGUAACGGCCUACCAAGGCGACGACGGGUAGCCGGCCUGAGAGGGUGAACGGCCACACUGGAACUGAGAUACGGUCCAGACUCCUACAGGAGGCAGCAGUGGGGAAUAUUUGGGGCAAUGGGGGCAACCCUGACCCAGCGACGCCGCGUGGGGGAAGACGGCCUUCGGGUUGUAAACCUCUUUUGUACGGGAAGAAGGAAGUGACGGUACUGUACGAAUAAGUCCCGGCUAACUACGUGCCAGCCGCGGC